UACGGAGGAUCCAAGCGUUAUCCGGAAUCAUUGGGUUUAAAGGGUCCGUAGGUGGAUAAUUAAGUCAGAGGUGAAAUCCUGCAGCUCAACUGUAGAAUUGCCUUUGAUACUGGUUAUCUUGAGUUAUUAUGAAGUAGUUAGAAUAUGUAGUGUAGCGGUGAAAUGCAUAGAUAUUACAUAGAAUACCAAUUGCGAAGGCAGAUUACUAAUAAUCAACUGACACUGAUGGACGAAAGCGUGGGGAGCGAACAGG
Molecule: ribosomal RNA, 253 nt
Filed under: uncultured bacterium
Lineage: Bacteria
Description: partial 16S ribosomal RNA
Rfam family: Bacterial small subunit ribosomal RNA
Source: RNAcentral